CAGCAGCCACGGUAAUACAUAGGGCGCAAGCGUUAUCCGGAAUUAUUGGGCGUAAAGAGCUCGUAGGCGGUUUGUCGCGUCUGCCGUGAAAGUCCGGGGCUCAACCCCGGAUCUGCGGUGGGUACGGGCAGACUAGAGUGAUGUAGGGGAGACUGGAAUUCCUGGUGUAGCGGUGAAAUGCGCAGAUAUCAGGAGGAACACCGAUGGCGAAGGCAGGUCUCUGGGCAUUAACUGACGCUGAGGAGCGAAAGCAUGGGGAGCGAACAGGAUUAGAUACCCGCGUAGUCCCUGUCUCUUAUAC
RNAcentral lists this ribosomal RNA (301 nucleotides) under uncultured bacterium. Its description in RNAcentral is "partial 16S ribosomal RNA". It matches the Rfam family "Bacterial small subunit ribosomal RNA", at positions 509 to 807 of the family's 1533-position model. The record is from RNAcentral.